RNAcentral lists this unclassified non-coding RNA (357 nucleotides) under soil metagenome. RNAcentral's name for it is "partial contains 5.8S ribosomal RNA, internal transcribed spacer 2, and large subunit ribosomal RNA". The stretch from base 1 to 120 matches the Rfam family "5.8S ribosomal RNA", at positions 35 to 154 of the family's 154-position model. The record is from RNAcentral.
GAUGAAGAACGCAGCGAAAUGCGAUAAGUAAUGUGAAUUGCAGAAUUCAGUGAAUCAUCGAAUCUUUGAACGCACAUUGCGCCCGCCAGUAUUCUGGCGGGCAUGCCUGUCCGAGCGUCAUUUCAACCCUCGAACCCCUCCGGGGGGUCGGCGUUGGGGACCUCGGGAGCCCCUAAGACGGGAUCCCGGCCCCGAAAUACAGUGGCGGUCUCGCCGCAGCCUCUCCUGCGCAGUAGUUUGCACAACUCGCACCGGGAGCGCGGCGCGUCCACGUCCGUAAAACACCCAACUUCUGAAAUGUUGACCUCGGAUCAGGUAGGAAUACCCGCUGAACUUAAGCAUACAAUAAGCGGAGGA